Molecule: ribosomal RNA, 1346 nt
Filed under: uncultured bacterium
Lineage: Bacteria
Description: partial 16S ribosomal RNA
Rfam family: Bacterial small subunit ribosomal RNA
Source: RNAcentral
GACGAACGCUGGCGGCGUGCUUAACACAUGCAAGUCGAACGGAAAGGCCCUGCUUUUGUGGGGUGCUCGAGUGGCGAACGGGUGAGUAACACGUGAGUAACCUGCCCUUGACUUUGGGAUAACUUCAGGAAACUGGGGCUAAUACCGGAUAGGAGCUCCUGCUGCAUGGUGGGGGUUGGAAAGUUUCGGCGGUUGGGGAUGGACUCGCGGCUUAUCAGCUUGUUGGUGGGGUAGUGGCUUACCAAGGCUUUGACGGGUAGCCGGCCUGAGAGGGCGACCGGCCACAUUGGGACUGAGAUACGGCCCAGACUCCUACGGGAGGCAGCAGUGGGGAAUAUUGCACAAUGGGCGGAAGCCUGAUGCAGCAACGCCGCGUGCGGGAUGACGGCCUUCGGGUUGUAAACCGCUUUCGCCUGUGACGAAGCGUGAGUGACGGUAAUGGGUAAAGAAGCACCGGCUAACUACGUGCCAGCAGCCGCGGUGAUACGUAGGGUGCGAGCGUUGUCCGGAUUUAUUGGGCGUAAAGGGCUCGUAGGUGGUUGAUCGCGUCGGAAGUGUAAUCUUGGGGCUUAACCCUGAGCGUGCUUUCGAUACGGGUUGACUUGAGGAAGGUAGGGGAGAAUGGAAUUCCUGGUGGAGCGGUGGAAUGCGCAGAUAUCAGGAGGAACACCAGUGGCGAAGGCGGUUCUCUGGGCCUUUCCUGACGCUGAGGAGCGAAAGCGUGGGGAGCGAACAGGCUUAGAUACCCUGGUAGUCCACGCUGUAAACGGUGGGUACUAGGUGUGGGGUCCAUUCCACGGGUUCCGUGCCGUAGCUAACGCUUUAAGUACCCCGCCUGGGGAGUACGGCCGCAAGGCUAAAACUCAAAGGAAUUGACGGGGCCCCGCACAAGCGGCGGAGCAUGCGGAUUAAUUCGAUGCAACGCGUAGAACCUUACCUGGGUUUGACAUGGAUCGGGAGUGCUCAGAGAUGGGUGUGCCUCUUUUGGGGUCGGUUCACAGGUGGUGCAUGGCUGUCGUCAGCUCGUGUCGUGAGAUGUUGGGUUAAGUCCCGCAACGAGCGCAACCCUUGUUCACUGUUGCCAGCACGUUAUGGUGGGGACUCAGUGGAGACCGCCGGGGUCAACUCGGAGGAAGGUGGGGAUGACGUCAAGUCAUCAUGCCCCUUAUGUCCAGGGCUUCACGCAUGCUACAAUGGCUGGUACAGAGAGUGGCGAGCCUGUGAGGGUGAGCGAAUCUCGGAAAGCCGGUCUCAGUUCGGAUUGGGGUCUGCAACUCGACCUCAUGAAGUCGGAGUCGCUAGUAAUCGCAGAUCAGCAACGCUGCGGUGAAUACGUUCCCGGGGCA